Molecule: long non-coding RNA, 1064 nt
Filed under: Fragaria vesca (wild strawberry)
Lineage: Eukaryota; Viridiplantae; Streptophyta; Magnoliopsida; Rosales; Rosaceae
Description: long non-coding RNA (FVES_LNC004928)
Source: RNAcentral
UAUGAAUUAAACACUCAAAUAGGGCUACUACGCUUACGUCCAACGCUCACGUCACACCAUAAUGCGGCUAUAUGCUACGCCAUUAAGGUGGACAGACACAUAUGGCUAGCUAGCAUUUAUAUACAUACUCUAUCCUAACUACAUAUUUAUAUAUCCACCGAAAAUCCCAUUUUCGGUAACUCUCCAAUUUUCGGUAACUCUCCAAGAGAAAUAAAAAUCGUCAAAUUUAAAAUGACGUUAAAAUACUCCACGACAUUAAUUGUUAAACCAUGAACUAUAGCAUGCAUUUAUUUAAAAUAAACGUCCACUCACAAAUUAGGCCUAAGCCUGAUGUCGAUCUGGGGUCUCGUCUGCUCGAGCCUCCUCACGUCCUGUUCCAAAUAUAAAAUUAAUUUCCCAACCAAUAAUCUAAUAUUUAAUCAAAAUAGGCAAAAUUACCCGAGAGCCAUAAAUACGCUCAUCAUUGCCUAACUUCGAUAUUCUUAAAUCGGAACGAUCCGAACUUAAAUAUCAUACUCAUCAGUCGUAAAUACAACCUCCCCAAAAUACGACUUAAAUCCUACGGCCGGAUUCUGCAUUAAUUAACCGUCAAAAAUACCAAACUUCGGAAAUUCACAAACCUAUCCAAAUCUCAUCCAAAAAUUCCAUAAAUCACAUCAAUAUACUCCUCUUAAUAUUCCACACUCAAAACCCUAAAAAUCUCCUAACCGGCGGCGGCGCCGCCGGCAGCGGCGGCCGGAGGCCAAUUCCGGCGACCUCCAAAACCUAUGAAAUUUUGACAGAAUAAUCCUCUCAUCAUGCUCUACAACUUUCCUAACUAGCACAAACACCAAUUCCAAGCCUAACUAGGGCAAUCGACUAAAAACAUCAAAAACGCCAUAAAACUUCCACCUCAAAUUUCUCCUUACCUAGCUCAAGAGGGGGUGAGUCCUUUUAGGGCAAGGCUGCUGGGUUGGAGGGCUACAAAACCGUACCAAGCUUGCCCGGAUUGAUGGCCGGAGGAGGGAGUUCCGGCGACGUGAACCUUAACACAGUCGGACCUCUCGGGCCCGAUAUCUUCCUCA